This 497-nucleotide ribosomal RNA is filed under the name uncultured bacterium. RNAcentral's name for it is "partial 16S ribosomal RNA". It matches the Rfam family "Bacterial small subunit ribosomal RNA", at positions 28 to 507 of the family's 1533-position model. The record is from RNAcentral.
GAUGAACGCUGGCGGCGUGCCUAAUACAUGCAAGUCGAGCGAACAGACGAGGAGCUUGCUCCUCUGACGUUAGCGGCGGACGGGUGAGUAACACGUGGAUAACCUACCUAUAAGACUGGGAUAACUUCGGGAAACCGGAGCUAAUACCGGAUAAUAUAUUGAACCGCAUGGUUCAAUAGUGAAAGACGGUUUUGCUGUCACUUAUAGAUGGAUCCGCGCCGCAUUAGCUAGUUGGUAAGGUAACGGCUUACCAAGGCGACGAUGCGUAGCCGACCUGAGAGGGUGAUCGGCCACACUGGAACUGAGACACGGUCCAGACUCCUACGGGAGGCAGCAGUAGGGAAUCGUCCGCAAUGGGCGAAAGCCUGACGGAGCAACGCCGCGUGAGUGAUGAAGGUCUUCGGAUCGUAAAACUCUGUUAUUAGGGAAGAACAAAUGUGUAAGUAACUAUGCACGUCGUGACGGUACCUAAUCAGAAAGCCACGGCUAACUACGUG